Molecule: ribosomal RNA, 465 nt
Filed under: Vreelandella stevensii
Lineage: Bacteria; Pseudomonadati; Pseudomonadota; Gammaproteobacteria; Oceanospirillales; Halomonadaceae
Description: partial 16S ribosomal RNA
Rfam family: Bacterial small subunit ribosomal RNA
Source: RNAcentral
CCUACGGGUGGCAGCAGUGGGGAAUAUUGGACAAUGGGGGCAACCCUGAUCCAGCCAUGCCGCGUGUGUGAAGAAGGCCCUCGGGUUGUAAAGCACUUUCAGUGAGGAAGAACGCCUGGUGGUUAAUACCCAUCAGGAAAGACAUCACUCACAGAAGAAGCACCGGCUAACUCCGUGCCAGCAGCCGCGGUAAUACGGAGGGUGCGAGCGUUAAUCGGAAUUACUGGGCGUAAAGCGCGCGUAGGUGGCUUGAUAAGCCGGUUGUGAAAGCCCCGGGCUCAACCUGGGAACGGCAUCCGGAACUGUCAAGCUAGAGUGCAGGAGAGGAAGGUAGAAUUCCCGGUGUAGCGGUGAAAUGCGUAGAGAUCGGGAGGAAUACCAGUGGCGAAGGCGGCCUUCUGGACUGACACUGACACUGAGGUGCGAAAGCGUGGGUAGCAAACAGGGUUAGAUACCCGUGUAGUC